UUAGAAUUGACGGGGCCCCGCACAAGCAGCGGAGCGUGUGGUUAAUUCGAUGCUACACGAAGAACCUUACCAGGGUUUGACAUGCAAGUGGUAGGAAUCCGAAAGGUGACCGACCCUUCGGGGAGCUUGCACAGGUGCUGCAUGGCUGUCGUCAGCUCGUGUCGUGAGAUGUUCGGUUAAGUCCGCUAACGAGCGCAACCCUCGUCGUGUGUUAUACGUGUCACACGAUACUGCCGGUAUCAAGCCGGAGGAAGGUGGGGAUGAUGUCAAGUCAGCAUGGCCUUUAUAUCCUGGGCUACACACACGCUACAAUGGCAGAUACAAUAGGUUGCGAAACCGCGAGGUGGAGCCAAUCCUCAAAGUCUGUCUCAGUUCAGAUUGUAGGCUGCAACUCGCCUGCAUGAAGUUGGAGUUGCUAGUAAACGCAGGUCAGCUAUACUGCGUUGAAUACGUUCCCGGGGUUU
Molecule: ribosomal RNA, 464 nt
Filed under: uncultured Leptolinea sp.
Lineage: Bacteria; Bacillati; Chloroflexota; Anaerolineae; Anaerolineales; Anaerolineaceae
Description: bacterial SSU rRNA
Rfam family: Bacterial small subunit ribosomal RNA
Source: RNAcentral